AGACAAACCUUUUCCUCCCCAAGUUGGUAUUGGUCAACGUGUUUUGUCACAGCAAUGGAGAAUCAAACUAGAACAGUUACCAAAAUUACACCUCUGCUCUGUGCUCAGACCCAGUCCCUAGGCCUGGGUCCACCCAAUUCUGGGGCACAUUCUCCCAAACGCUACACUCUCAAGUGCUCACCAACCCCAACCCUGAGUCACUGUCCCCUCCUCCCUCAGACUGCUCCAGACCACGGUAGCCAAACCACAAACCCUCCCCCGAAGACCAGGCCACUUUCUCUCCAACUCCUACCCCUCCUCCUCCCUCCCCACCCCCGCCAGGCUUCAGGGGCCGAAUCCACAGGCAGCAACCGCCCCCGCAUCGGCCAAUCAGCGAUUGCCGCACACCCGCGAUUUAGCCAAUCCACAUCAGCUUUGCAGUUCCACCCCCUCACCUGGGGGGCUGGGGCUGCAAGUCUGCGCCCUGCGCCCCACCUCGGGGGUAUGUGGAGCCUGGCGCCUGUGUCCUCCCCGCAACACAGCAAAGCCUCAGCCCUCCUCCCUCUGACCCACAUGGCUCAACACCCGGCUGCAUCUGUACACCUCUCUACUCUGCUGGCAAAGAGCGCCAACUUCAUUCCCCUAAGGACCCAGAAUAAAGCGCCUAGGUGAAGCGGAACUGCGCUCCCUGGCGACCGGAGUUAGCAACUUGGGCAACCCCUGCAAGGUCUCCAGGGAGUUGUUCAGAACGACACGUGGCUGCAGGAGGGAAGCAACGCUGGUGUAAACAGACUUGUAUAAAGAACAGGAAAUAAAUAUGACGUUGCCUUUC
Long non-coding RNA from Nannospalax galili (Upper Galilee mountains blind mole rat), 811 nucleotides. RefSeq lists it as uncharacterized. The transcript is spliced from 2 exons. The record is from RefSeq and is a predicted model, not a curated record. Lineage: Eukaryota; Metazoa; Chordata; Mammalia; Rodentia; Spalacidae.